UAUCCCUCACAGAUGCCAUACCCACCCUACUACCCACCAUAUUCACAAUACCCAAUGUAUCCACCCCCACCUUACUAUCCAAACCCUACUUCAGAAAAUGUUGCACCACCUCCACGACCUACAGAACCAGCAGCCCCUGUUACCCAACCUUCUAGACCUAGCUCAGCCAGUGGGAGCAAGGUCAAGAUGACCGACUACAUGAAGUUGGGUGCUCCCCAGUAUGAAAAAGGGGAUGACCCGUUUGUGUAUCUUGAGAGGGUUAAGGUGAUCACGGAUGAGAUUGGGGCUGAUGACAGUAGAGCCAUUCAGAUGGCUGGGUUCACUCUUAAGUGCAAGAAGGCACGAGAAUGGUU
RNAcentral lists this long non-coding RNA (353 nucleotides) under Manihot esculenta (cassava). RNAcentral describes it as "long non-coding RNA (MESC_LNC012876)". Lineage: Eukaryota; Viridiplantae; Streptophyta; Magnoliopsida; Malpighiales; Euphorbiaceae. The record is from RNAcentral.